UACGUAGGGGGCUAGCGUUGUCCGGAAUCAUUGGGCGUAAAGAGCGUGUAGGCGGUCCGGUAAGUCCGCUGUGAAAGUCGGGGGCUCAACCCUCGAAUGCCGGUGGAUACUGUCGGGCUAGAGUGCGGAAGAGGCGAGUGGAAUUCCUGGUGUAGCGGUGAAAUGCGCAGAUAUCAGGAGGAACACCUAUUGCGAAGGCAGCUUGCUGGGACGUAACUGACGCUGAGACGCGAAAGCGUGGGGAGCAAACAGG
RNAcentral lists this ribosomal RNA (253 nucleotides) under uncultured bacterium. RNAcentral's name for it is "partial 16S ribosomal RNA". It matches the Rfam family "Bacterial small subunit ribosomal RNA", at positions 524 to 776 of the family's 1533-position model. The record is from RNAcentral.